This 74-nucleotide transfer RNA is filed under the name Candidatus Cloacimonadota bacterium. RNAcentral's name for it is "tRNA-Met". It matches the Rfam family "tRNA". From Rfam's summary of the family: Transfer RNA (tRNA) molecules are approximately 80 nucleotides in length. Their secondary structure includes four short double-helical elements and three loops (D, anti-codon, and T loops). Lineage: Bacteria; Pseudomonadati; Candidatus Cloacimonadota. The record is from RNAcentral.
CGCGGGGUGGAGCAGUUUGGUAGCUCGUCAGGCUCAUAACCUGAAGGUCGUAGGUUCGAAUCCUGCCCCCGCUA